AUGUGCAAGAGCAAGCACAGCCGCUGCAAGCAGGGGAACAGAGGCUAUACAUGCCACUGUGAGGAUGGCUACAACGGCAACCCCUACGCCGCCAACGCUGGCCAGGGAUGCAAAGGUUAGCACAAAUAUAUGGCUAGCUUGAUUUACGUUGGAGCUGGGCUUGCGAGUGCUGGGGGGCUCAUAGUUUCAGUUCUUGUUGGAUGGUUCAUUUCCAGCAAAGCUAAACACCAAAAGGCACAAAUGUUGAAGCGAAAGUUCUGUGACCAAAAUCGUGGACAGCUUUUGCAACAAUUGGUUUCACAGAGAGCUGAUAUUUCUGAAAGGAUGAUCAUACCCUUAGAAGAGCUAGAGAAGGCAACCAACAAUUUUGAUAAAGCUCUUGAGCUUAGUGGUGGAGGGCAUGGUACAGUCUAUAAAGGGAUUUUGUCAGACCUCCAUGUGGUAGCCAUCAAGAAGCCAAAGAAGAUUAUUCAAAGGGAGAUUGAUGAGUUCAUUAAUGAGGUUGCUAUACUAUCACAAAUCAAUCACCGAAAUGUGGUAAAACUUUAUGGUUGUUGCCUUGAAACAGAAGUACCAAUGUUGGUCUACGAGUUCAUAUCCAAUGGAACCCUUUUUGAUCAUCUUCACAUCGAUGGACCAAGAUAAUUAUCAUGGGAGGACAGGCUUCGGAUCGCAGUUGAAAGAGCCAAAUCUCUGGUCUAUCUUCACUCUACAGCUUCAAUGCCCAUCAUUCAUAGAGACGUCAAGUCAGUUAACAUACUUUUGGAUAACACUCUCACAGCAAAGGUAGCAGACUUUGGAGCUUCAAGAUAUAUUUUAGUGGAGAAAUCGGGGUUAACAACAAUGGUUCAAGGUACAAUAGGAUAUUUGGACCCUAUGUAUUUCUACACAGGGCGACUCACGGACAAAAGUGAUGUCUACAGCUAUGGUGUCAUGCUCGUAGAACUCCUGACUCGACGGAAACCAUUUUCAUAUCUGUCUUCUGAAGGUGAAGGCCUUGUUGCACACUUUGUUGCAUUGUUUGAGGAGGGUAAUUUGUCACAGAUAUUAGAUCCACAAAUUACAGAUGAGGGAGGCAAAGAAGUUGAAGAAACAGUUGCACUUGCGGUAGCAUGUACAAAAUUAAGAGGGGAGGACCGUCCAACCAUGAGGCAAGUUGAGCUGACACUUGAAGGUCUUCGACCAUCCAAGGAGUAUAAUAUUUUACAUGAAUUUGGCACCAACAAACUUCAGAACAGUGGCGUCGCUAUAAAUUCUCCAUCAACCAUAGAUGGGAGAAGCAUUGACGGACCGACUAGACAGUACAGUAUGGAAGAAGAGUUGGCCAUGUCUUCAUGCAAUCCUCGGUUGUACUAUUGA
This 1359-nucleotide ribosomal RNA is filed under the name Triticum aestivum (bread wheat). RNAcentral's name for it is "partial small subunit ribosomal RNA". The record is from RNAcentral. Lineage: Eukaryota; Viridiplantae; Streptophyta; Magnoliopsida; Poales; Poaceae.